CCUACGGGGUGCAGCAGUGAGGCAUAUUGGUCAAUGGGCGCGAGCCUGAACCAGCCAAGUCGCGUGAGGGAAGACGGUCCUAUGGAUUGUAAACCUCUUUUGUCGGGGAGCAAAAGACGCCACGCGUGGCGUUCCGCGAGUACCCGAAGAAAAAGCAUCGGCUAACUCCGUGCCAUCAGCCGCGGUACUAGGGAGGAUGCGAGCGUUAUCCGGAUUUAUUGGGGUUAAAGGGUGCGCAGGCGGAAGAUCAAGUCAGCGGUAAAAUUGAGAGGCUCAACCUCUUCGAGCCGUUGAAACUGGUUUUCUUGAGUGAGCGAGAAGUAUGCGGAAUGCGUGGUGUAGCGGUGAAAUGCAUAGAUAUCACGCAGAACUCCGAUUGCGAAGGCAGCAUACCGGCGCUCAACUGACGCUCAUGCACGAAAGUGUGGGUAUCGAACAGGAUUAGAUACCCGGGUAGUC
Molecule: ribosomal RNA, 459 nt
Filed under: uncultured bacterium
Lineage: Bacteria
Description: partial 16S ribosomal RNA
Rfam family: Bacterial small subunit ribosomal RNA
Source: RNAcentral